CGAAAAACGAGCAAAGGAGCGGAUCGAUGGGUCUACACGUGCAAUCAGUCGUAGCAAUCACCCCCUCUACCGAUGAUCUAUAAUCUGCGAGUGUGCGUCGAUAUAAUCGAUUAAUCGAGGAUCCAGGGCGAGAAUCUGACGCUUAUAUUGUGGGAGUUUGAAGGAUUUAGCUCGGCACGGUCUGCGAGGGGUAUCAGCGCAAAGCCACCAUGCGCCGUUUCUCUUCCUCCUCCACUACAGAAUCCACGCCUGGUUUUGCGCAACGCUUCCUUUGCAGCAUCUUGUUACUUUGUAAUAUGAGGGGUUCUCACAGCAGAUCAUCUGCCUCCAUCUCACCCUAUUCACACCAUCCUCCUCUGUCACAUCAGCCCUCUCCUUCACUCCACGAAUCUCCUCUGUGAUCUUUUCCUCUUGCCUGGAUGCUCAUCAUAAUUUCUCCCUUUAUGAGGUUUGAUAGAUUUGUUAUAUAUCAAUGAAAAAAAAAAACUAAAGCAACACUGAAACCAGUAUGAAUCGCAGCACUAAAGUUGCAGCCACCAAUGCUACGUAAAAUAAGUCCUGCACCGGCCCCCAGACAAUUACAACCUGACCCGCUGUCUUUCAGAAAGAAAAUUGUAGAAGAAAAUCAGUAGCAGCAUUAUGUUAAACAGUCUCAAAGCAGUCUGUGACUGCAGUGAGUCAGAACUGCUUUUUAACUCAAUUCCAGUCAGUCAGAAUCAGAUCCAGCUGUCACGCCUCACUUCCAGUUUCAAAAACACCAACACAGCAACAGCAAAAGUGCUCAACAACAGGGUUCCUCCACAAACCAGUGGGUGACAUCCAAGUGGCUACAUCCAUCUUUCAGACUGUCAAUGGGCCAAGCAUGGGGACACCUGUCACACCUAGAAAAAUGGAAUUGAACUCCAAGUGAACCAACAUGCAUCACCGCAGACCACAUUUGAGUAUUCAGUCUGCUGAUUGGCCAGAUGUGUCUGGGACAGGAGUAACAAAAGUAAAAACAGGAAGAAGGUGUUGUCUUCUGGACUAUUGGAGAAAACUGAGAAUUUCUGUUAAUUUCACAGCUAGUUGCUAGACUGUACAGAACUUUACACAUCUAUAGUACCUUACCGUAUCCCACAUUAUCCCAAACUGACACAUAUGCACAUUCGAACUCCACAGUUGUGCAAACAUCCUUACAUUACGAUGCACCAGCUACAUGUGCCCAGAUGGCUAACUUCACAAAGAUUUCAAAAAAAUAUAAAACUUUAAUUAUACUCAGGUUUGGACAUGGAGAGAAACUGCUAGAGACACAAUGGCCAAAUAAAAACUGAUGUAGUCAUUGUGACUUGUAACAGAUUUAUGGAAAAUACCACCAAGGCUUAGCUUCAUCAUCCACAUUUGAGUUAUAAAAAAUAAUCUUCCUUAUAGUGUUGAUCAAGAGCAACCUAUCCAUAAAGGACAGGUAUUUUGUAUCAUUCUGUAAACAUAUUUGUGC
Long non-coding RNA from Astatotilapia calliptera (eastern happy), 1474 nucleotides. Lineage: Eukaryota; Metazoa; Chordata; Actinopteri; Cichliformes; Cichlidae. The record is from Ensembl.